AGUGAACGCUGGCGGCAGGCCUAAUACAUGCAAGUCGAGCAGCCGCACAGUAAGCGUUCGCCUCUACGGGUAGCGAGUGACGGGCGAGUAACGCAUACAUAGGCAUCUAAUAUUACGUGGGUGAUUACGGAGGAAAACAUACGAUAACACCGAAUAUGAUGUACCGGUUAAAUCAAUAGUGAUACGGAGCUUUGCUGACAGAUAUAGAUGGAGCCGGAUUAGCUAGGUGGCGUGGUAAAGGCACACCAAGGCGACGAACCGUAGCGGAUCUGAGAGGAUGAUCAGCCACACUGGAACUGAGACACGGUCCAGACUCCUACGGGAGGCAGCAGUAGGGAAUCUUGGACAAUGGGCGCAAGCCUGACGCAGCCAUGCCGCGUGGGUGAUGAAGGUCUUCGGAUUGUAAAGCCCUGUUGUUAGGAAAGAACAACUGUAUAAUAAACUCUGGCCGUCUUGACGGUACCUAAUGAGAAAGCCACGGCUAACUUCGUG
This 492-nucleotide ribosomal RNA is filed under the name uncultured bacterium. RNAcentral's name for it is "partial 16S ribosomal RNA". It matches the Rfam family "Bacterial small subunit ribosomal RNA", at positions 29 to 507 of the family's 1533-position model. The record is from RNAcentral.